UGCCCCCCGAGUGGGGUCGAACCACCAACCUUUCGGUGAACAGCCGAACGCCCCAGCCGAUUGUGCCACGGAGGC
This is a non-coding RNA of Araneus ventricosus, 75 nucleotides long. The record is from the annotation of a GenBank genome assembly. Lineage: Eukaryota; Metazoa; Arthropoda; Arachnida; Araneae; Araneidae.